RNAcentral lists this non-coding RNA (253 nucleotides) under uncultured bacterium. RNAcentral's name for it is "partial 16S ribosomal RNA". It matches the Rfam family "Bacterial small subunit ribosomal RNA", at positions 524 to 776 of the family's 1533-position model. The record is from RNAcentral. RNAcentral also lists the same sequence under 2 other names.
UACGAAGGGGGCUAGCGUUGUUCGGAAUUACUGGGCGUAAAGCGCGCGCAGGCGGCCUUUCAAGUCAGGGGUGAAAGCCCGGAGCUCAACUCCGGAAUUGCCUUUGAAACUGUCAGGCUCGAGUACGGGAGAGGUGAGUGGAAUUCCCAGUGUAGAGGUGAAAUUCGUAGAUAUUGGGAAGAACACCGGUGGCGAAGGCGGCUCACUGGCCCGUUUCUGACGCUCAGGCGCGACAGCGUGGGGAUCAAACAGG